This 319-nucleotide ribosomal RNA is filed under the name uncultured eukaryote. RNAcentral describes it as "partial 18S ribosomal RNA". It matches the Rfam family "Eukaryotic small subunit ribosomal RNA", at positions 1470 to 1796 of the family's 1831-position model. The record is from RNAcentral.
CCCUUAGAUGGUCUGGGCGGCACGCGCGCUACAAUGAUGCAUUCAAAAAGUCUUCUGACCUUAGAAGGUUGGGUAUUCUCCAAAGUGCAUCGUGGUGGGAAUAGUUUAUUGCAAUUUUUAAUCUUGAACGAGGAAUUCCUAGUAAGUACAGGUCAUCAACUUGUGUUGAUUACGUCCCUGCCCUUUGUACACACCGCCCGUCGCUCCUACUGAUUGAGUGUCUCGGUGAAUUCUUUGAUCUUCUGUCGAUUCAGUUCACUGAUCCGACGGUGGAAAGUUGAAUGAACUUCGUCACUUAGAGGAAGGAGAAGUCGUAACA